GGGUGCGCGCUGUGCGCGGCCUCCAUUUUGGAGUCGGGCAGCUGCGACGGAGGCCGGGUCCGGCCAGGGAAAGGAAGGAGCCAGUCAGUUUGUGCUUCAAGAAGUCUGAAUUAUUCUACCUACUAGUCCACCGGAGAGUGCUCCUGCUAAGGCUACCCCAGUGACAUCAUAUGGUGGAGUGCAAGGCUCACAAUUUAGACUUUAUCUCUUUCAGUGGAUUCKGUGAACUGCAUCCUUCUUGAAGCACACCUGGACAUAGGAACCAUACAAAAAGGGAUCCAGAGAAAAGGGGGCAAAGAAAAUGAUACGGAAUGAACAACUCAACCUGCAUUGGAUUAGAUGGCUCCAUAUGAAGUAGCCUAUUAUCAGCCAUGUUUGGCUUCCAGAGAGGAUAAUCAUAGUGGAAACUGCAUUGCUGUCAGCAUGGUUUGGUGGAAAGAACAUGGAGAUCAGAUUCUGGAGUUCUGAAUUCAAAUCUCAACAGCACAAAACUGUGGGAAAGCCAUUUUCCCUCCCCGUAUCUUACUUUCUGAUUCAAUAAUAUUAAACUUGCAUAGUAUGUAAGGUGCAUGAAACAGCUUCUGCCUUCUUUGGGCUCACAGUUUACUUGAUA
Non-coding RNA from Urocitellus parryii (Arctic ground squirrel), 613 nucleotides. NCBI's taxonomy places the organism in Eukaryota, Metazoa, Chordata, Mammalia, Rodentia, Sciuridae. The record is from RefSeq and is a predicted model, not a curated record.